This 286-nucleotide long non-coding RNA is filed under the name Volvox carteri. RNAcentral describes it as "long non-coding RNA (VCAR_LNC002539)". Lineage: Eukaryota; Viridiplantae; Chlorophyta; Chlorophyceae; Chlamydomonadales; Volvocaceae. The record is from RNAcentral.
GGGAAGGGUACGCGUGUGUGUGUAAUGAACUAAGCCGCGAGGGGUGUGUAUAUGUGCGUAUGUAUGUAGGGUAAUGGAUGCUACUUAAGUAGUUGUGACUUAACUCCCCCUGCCUGAUGCCUGGUUAGGCUCCAAACAGCCCCUCCGUUGAUCGCGAAUCCGACGUUGCCACCUAACCAAAAGCCCGUCUCCACUACCAUUUCCUCAUAUUCGAACCCAUCGGAAUAAACAGACAGGCAAACAGACAGACAGACAGACAAACACUUCAUCGUCACGCACACGCCGC